RNAcentral lists this long non-coding RNA (227 nucleotides) under Mytilus galloprovincialis (Mediterranean mussel). The record is from RNAcentral. Lineage: Eukaryota; Metazoa; Mollusca; Bivalvia; Mytilida; Mytilidae.
ACAGCGUUUAAAGCUGAUGAGAUUUAAGAUUAACUUACAACCUGAACUUUGACAUUCAGCCGACAACGACAUCACGCAAACUCUGGAAUGACAGACUAUAGAACAAAGGCGGAUAACCCUUAGACUUUGACAUUCUGCCGACAACGACAACAUGCAAACUCUGGGAGAGCAGACUAUAGAACAAAGGCGGAUAACCCUUAGACUUUGGCAUUCUGCCGACAACGACA